GGAGGGAACAGCUCAGUGGUAGAGCAUGUGCUUAGCACGCACGAGGUCCUAGGUUCAAUCCCCAGCACCUCCG
This is a non-coding RNA of Camelus ferus (Wild Bactrian camel), 73 nucleotides long. The record is from Rfam. NCBI's taxonomy places the organism in Eukaryota, Metazoa, Chordata, Mammalia, Artiodactyla, Camelidae.